Molecule: ribosomal RNA, 884 nt
Filed under: Galiella amurensis
Lineage: Eukaryota; Fungi; Ascomycota; Pezizomycetes; Pezizales; Sarcosomataceae
Description: partial large subunit ribosomal RNA
Rfam family: Eukaryotic large subunit ribosomal RNA
Source: RNAcentral
AACUUAAGCAUAUCAAUAAGCGGAGGAAAAGAAACCAACAGGGAUUGCCUUAGUAACUGCGAGUGAAGCGGCAAAAGCUCAAAUUUGAAAUCUGGUACCUCUGGGUGCCCGAGUUGUAAUUUGGAGAGGCAACUUCGGAGGAGGCGCUGGCCUAAGUUCCUUGGAACAGGACGUCACAGAGGGUGAGAAUCCCGUGCUUGGCUGGCUGUCCUCCUUCAUGUGAAGUGUCUUCGACGAGUCGAGUUGUUUGGGAAUGCAGCUCAAAAUGGGUGGUAAACUCCAUCUAAGGCUAAAUAUUGGCGAGAGACCGAUAGCGCACAAGUAGAGUGAUCGAAAGAUGAAAAGCACUUUGAAAAGAGAGUUAAAAAGUACGUGAAAUUGUUGAAAGGGAAGCGCUUGAGACCAGACUCGGUGAUUGGUGAUCAGCGGUUGCUUUUGCUCCGUGCACUUGCCUUUUACUGGGCCAGCAUCAGUUGUGACGGUGGGAUAAAGACUCAGGGAAUGUGGCUCUCUUCGGGGAGUGUUAUAGUCUUGGGUGUAAUGCCGCCUGUUGCGACUGAGGACCGCGCUUCGGCUAGGAUGCUGGCAUAAUGGUCUUCAGCGACCCGUCUUGAAACACGGACCAAGGAGUCUAACAUCUAUGCGAGUGUUCGGGUGUAAAACCCCUACGCGUAAUGAAAGUGAACGGAGGUGGGAACUCUUCGGAGUGCACCAUCGACCGAUCCUGAUGUCUUCGGAUGGAUUUGAGUAGGAGCAUAGCUGUUGGGACCCGAAAGAUGGUGAACUAUGCCUGAAUAGGGUGAAGCCAGAGGAAACUCUGGUGGAGGCUCGCAGCGGUUCUGACGUGCAAAUCGAUCGUCAAAUUUGGGUAUAGGGGCGAAAGA